This 301-nucleotide ribosomal RNA is filed under the name uncultured bacterium. RNAcentral describes it as "partial 16S ribosomal RNA". It matches the Rfam family "Bacterial small subunit ribosomal RNA", at positions 509 to 808 of the family's 1533-position model. The record is from RNAcentral.
CAGCAGCCGCGGGAAUACGUAGGGUGCGAGCGUUAAUCGGAAUUACUGGGCGUAAAGCGUGCGCAGGCGGUUUUGUAAGACAGAGGUGAAAUACCCGGGCUCAACCUGGGAACUGCCUUUGUGACUGCAAGGCUAGAGUACGGCAGAGGGGGAUGGAAUUCCGCGUGUAGCAGUGAAAUGCGUAGAUAUGCGGAGGAACACCGAUGGCGAAGGCAAUCCCCUGGGCCUGUACUGACGCUUAUGCACGAAAGCGUGGGGAGCAAACAGGAUUAGAACCCGCGUAGUCCCUGUCUCUUAUACA